This 252-nucleotide ribosomal RNA is filed under the name uncultured bacterium. Its description in RNAcentral is "partial 16S ribosomal RNA". It matches the Rfam family "Bacterial small subunit ribosomal RNA", at positions 525 to 776 of the family's 1533-position model. The record is from RNAcentral.
ACGGAGGGUGCAAGCGUUAUCCGGAUUCAUUGGGUUUAAAGGGUGCGCAGGCGGACUUUUAAGUCAGUGGUGAAAUCCCGGGGCUCAACCCCGGAACUGCCAUUGAUACUGGAAGUCUUGAAUUUGGUUGAAGUGGGCGGAAUGUAGCAUGUAGCGGUGAAAUGCUUAGAUAUGCUACAGAACACCGAUCGCGAAGGCAGCUCACUAAGCCAUUAUUGACGCUCAGGCACGAAAGCGUGGGGAGCGAACAGG